AGAGUUUGAUCCUGGCUCAGAUUGAACGCUGGCGGCAUGCCUUACACAUGCAAGUCGAACGGCAGCACGGGAGCAAUCCUGGUGGCGAGUGGCGAACGGGUGAGUAAUACAUCGGAACGUGCCCAGUAGUGGGGGGAUAGCCCGGCGAAAGCCGGAUUAAUACCGCAUACGACCUACGGGAGAAAGCGGGGGAUCGCAAGACCUCGCGCUAUUGGAGCGGCCGAUGGCAGAUUAGCUUGUUGGUGGGGUAAAAGCCUACCAAGGCGACGAUCUGUAGCUGGUCUGAGAGGACGACCAGCCACACUGGGACUGAGACACGGCCCAGACUCCUACGGGAGGCAGCAGUGGGGAAUUUUGGACAAUGGGCGCAAGCCUGAUCCAGCCAUGCCGCGUGCGGGAAGAAGGCCUUCGGGUUGUAAACCGCUUUUGUCAGGGAAGAAACGCUCCAGGCUAAUAUCUUGGAGUAAUGACGGUACCUGAAGAAUAAGCACCGGCUAACUACGUGCCAGCAGCCGCGGUAAUACGUAGGGUGCAAGCGUUAAUCGGAAUUACUGGGCGUAAAGCGUGCGCAGGCGGCUAUGCAAGACAGAUGUGAAAUCCCCGGGCUCAACCUGGGAACUGCAUUUGUGACUGCAUGGCUAGAGUGCGGCAGAGGGGGAUGGAAUUCCGCGUGUAGCAGUGAAAUGCGUAGAUAUGCGGAGGAACACCGAUGGCGAAGGCAAUCCCCUGGGCCUGCACUGACGCUCAUGCACGAAAGCGUGGGGAGCAAACAGGAUUAGAUACCCUAGUAGUCC
This 794-nucleotide ribosomal RNA is filed under the name uncultured bacterium. RNAcentral's name for it is "bacterial SSU rRNA". It matches the Rfam family "Bacterial small subunit ribosomal RNA", at positions 8 to 796 of the family's 1533-position model. The record is from RNAcentral.